GAUGAACGCUGGCGGCGUGCCUAAUACAUGCAAGUCGAGCGAACAGACGAGGAGCUUGCUCCUCUGACGUUAGCGGCGGACGGGUGAGUAACACGUGGAUAACCUACCUAUAAGACUGGGAUAACUUCGGGAAACCGGUGCUAAUACCGGAUAAUAUAUUGAACCGCAUGGUUCAAUAGUGAAUGACGGUUUUGCUGUCACUUAUAGAUGGAUCCGCGCCGCAUUAGCUAGUUGGUAAGGUAACGGCUUACCAAGGCGACGAUGCGUAGCCGACCUGAGAGGGUGAUCGGCCACACUGGAACUGAGACACGGUCCAGACUCCUACGGGAGGCAGCAGUAGGGAAUCUUCCGCAAUGGGCGAAAGCCUGACGGAGCAACGCCGCGUGAGUGAUGAAGGUCUUCGGAUCGUAAAACUCUGUUAUUAGGGAAGAACAAAUGUGUAAGUAACUAUGCACGUCUUGACGGUACCUAAUCAGAAAGCCACGGCUAACUACGUG
RNAcentral lists this ribosomal RNA (497 nucleotides) under uncultured bacterium. RNAcentral's name for it is "partial 16S ribosomal RNA". It matches the Rfam family "Bacterial small subunit ribosomal RNA", at positions 28 to 507 of the family's 1533-position model. The record is from RNAcentral.